UAUCUGAAUUCAUCACCAGAUCUCUGUCGAUAUGUCUAUCAUAGAACUGGGCUGAAUUCAGAUGA
Molecule: microRNA precursor, 65 nt
Filed under: Pristionchus pacificus
Lineage: Eukaryota; Metazoa; Nematoda; Chromadorea; Rhabditida; Neodiplogasteridae
Description: microRNA ppc-mir-8224 precursor
Source: miRBase by way of RNAcentral